CCCCUCCCAGGGUCGUACCUGUAGAGUGUCCAGUCCUCUACCAGUCUCGGCUAUGGAAGGGAGAGUCAAGCAGAGGCCUGUCUAGUCCAUUCCUAGCUUGGCCAGUGGCUAGCGAGUGGAAGGCCAUCUGCUACAAGU
This 138-nucleotide small nucleolar RNA is filed under the name Ornithorhynchus anatinus (platypus). The record is from RNAcentral. Lineage: Eukaryota; Metazoa; Chordata; Mammalia; Monotremata; Ornithorhynchidae.